This 618-nucleotide unclassified non-coding RNA is filed under the name Leishmania donovani. RNAcentral describes it as "gene:unknown". The record is from RNAcentral. Lineage: Eukaryota; Euglenozoa; Kinetoplastea; Trypanosomatida; Trypanosomatidae.
CUCCUUUUCUUCACGUCGACGAUGUGCUGGUAUAUUCAACGGCGUUUGUAUGCCUGUAUAUCUCUGCAUCUGCAUGUGCGCGUGUGUAAGUGUGGUGUGUGUUACUGCCCAUGCUGUAGGGCACGCGCACACACCUUUUCCUGCGACUUCUGCGUGUCCUCUUCUGCAGCCCCAUUGCUUACCAGUUGGGUGGCUGAUUCCCCCACACCCUUUUUUUUUUUACUUCGGUAUCCUUCUCUACGUGAGCUUCAUUGCCCAGCGGCACCGAGACAAGGCACAACAUUUGGUGCGGAGGUGUACAGCGAAACCUGGCCCUGUCACCGCACGCCCCGUCACGCUAGCGGAAACCCCCCUUUCUCCCGGAGGCGUACCAGACUGUCUCAGCAGCUCGGCAGUGCGCCCUCCGUUUUCGGGGCACACACGCUGAUCACGCUGGAUGCGAGUUGAUGUGCUUGUGCUUCACAGACACCUCCGAAUGGGCGCACACUCCCACGAUUGUCUCAGACAGGCGCCUGCAUACACACCGCUCACCUAAACGUACUCUCCUUUCCCUCCCUGCCUUCCUGAUACACGUGAUGAUGUCCCACGUACGCACACGCACAAUCACGUGCCUGCCAG